GGAGUAUGAAUGCUGCUGAUUCCUCAUAUCGUCCAACGAGUCAAAAUAAACAAUUGAGGCGUUCAAACUGACUCGUUGGACGAAAUGAGGAAGCAACAGCAUUCAUACUCC
Marchantia polymorpha subsp. ruderalis is the source of this 111-nucleotide non-coding RNA. The record is from the annotation of a GenBank genome assembly. NCBI's taxonomy places the organism in Eukaryota, Viridiplantae, Streptophyta, Marchantiopsida, Marchantiales, Marchantiaceae.